CAGUAGCCGCGGUAAUACGGAGGGGGCUAGCGUUGUUCGGAAUUACUGGGCGUAAAGCGCACGUAGGCGGCUUUGUAAGUUAGAGGUGAAAGCCCGGAGCUCAACUCCGGAAUUGCCUUUAAGACUGCAGAGCUAGCAGGUGAGAGAGGUGAGUGGAAUUCCGAGUGUAGAGGUGAAAUUCGUAGAUAUUCGGAGGAACACCAGUGGCGAAGGCGGCUCACUGGCUCAUACUGGACGCUGAGGUGCGAAAGCGUGGGGAGCAAACAGGAUUAGAGACCCCGGUAGUCCCUGUCUCUUAUAC
Molecule: ribosomal RNA, 301 nt
Filed under: uncultured bacterium
Lineage: Bacteria
Description: partial 16S ribosomal RNA
Rfam family: Bacterial small subunit ribosomal RNA
Source: RNAcentral